This 525-nucleotide long non-coding RNA is filed under the name Anas platyrhynchos platyrhynchos (common mallard). Its description in RNAcentral is "lncRNA (ENSAPLG00000018952.1)". Lineage: Eukaryota; Metazoa; Chordata; Aves; Anseriformes; Anatidae. The record is from RNAcentral.
AUGAAACCAAACUGGGUGGACAAGGCAGUUGCGACAUCUCUUAAGAAGUGGGAACUGCAACUGGAGGUGCUCCUUAUCCUGUUUAACAUUGACUUAGCAAGUGUCCUGUUCUCAUUUGAACUGGCCUUCCAUCAGCUUCAAGGACAGAUGCGUGUGGAUUUGGUAGCUCACAGAUCCUACUCUUUCGCUGCUGUGGUAUUGUUCUGCUCUGUGUAUUAUUUUGUCCUCAGUAAUUUUGCAGCUCUGCUUGUUCCUUUUGAGGCAAUUCCGUGGUCUCGAGCACCCUUUUGUUCAGUGAUGUGCAUGCGUGACCAACCAGUGAUACAUCAAGCAUGGUGGGAGCAGCAUCCAGUUCAGUCAAUCUCAGAUGAAGUUUGUCCUCCUCAGCCAGUUUCUGCCUCCUCAUCACUGUUUCAGCCGGAGGAUGCGAUGUUCUCAAGCCUGCAUGGUAUUGCCACUGGUGUGAUCAUCCUUCAACUCAUUUCUCUCAAAAUGAGCCUGCUUAUUUUAAGCAAUUUAAGGUGA